ACGUAGGUGGCAAGCGUUGUCCGGAUUUAUUGGGCGUAAAGCGAGCGCAGGCGGUUUUUUAAGUCAGAUGUGAAAUCCUUCGGCUCAACCGAAGAAGUGCAUCUGAAACUGGGAAACUUGAGUGCAGAAGAGGAAAGUGGAACUCCAUGUGUAGCGGUGAAAUGCGUAGAUAUAAGGAGGAACACCAGUGGCGAAGGCGGCUGUCUGGUCUGUAACUGACGCUGAGGCACGAAAGCAUGGGUAGCAAACAG
RNAcentral lists this ribosomal RNA (251 nucleotides) under uncultured prokaryote. RNAcentral describes it as "partial 16S rRNA". It matches the Rfam family "Bacterial small subunit ribosomal RNA", at positions 525 to 775 of the family's 1533-position model. The record is from RNAcentral.